This 403-nucleotide ribosomal RNA is filed under the name uncultured bacterium. Its description in RNAcentral is "partial 16S ribosomal RNA". It matches the Rfam family "Bacterial small subunit ribosomal RNA", at positions 30 to 526 of the family's 1533-position model. The record is from RNAcentral.
AUUGAACGCUGGCGGCAGGCCUAACACAUGCAAGUCGAGCGAGCGGCGGACGGGUGAGUAAUGUAUGGGGACUGCCCGAUAGAGGGGGAUAACUACUGGAAACGGUGGCUAAUACCGCAUACUAUCGGAUAACCCAUAUGGGGUUAGCUAGGAGGGGGGGUAAAGGCUCACCUAGGCGACGAUCUCUAGCUGGUCUGAGAGGAGGAUCAGCCACACUGGAGAGUGUACACGGCCCAGACGCCUGCGGAGGCAGCAGUGGGGAAUAUUGCACAAUGGGCGCAAGCCUGAUGCAGCCAUGCCGAUUGUAUGAAGAAGGCCUUAGGGUUGUAAAGUACUUUCAGCGUGGAGGCGUUACCCGCAGAAGAAGCACCGGCUAACUCCGUGCCAGCCGCCGCGGUAAUUC